CNAUAUGCAGUCGAGCGGUAACAGAAAGUAGCUUGCUACUUUGCUGACGAGCGGCGGACGGGUGAGUAAUGCUUGGGAACAUGCCUUGAGGUGGGGGACAACAGUUGGAAACGACUGCUAAUACCGCAUAAUGUCUACGGACCAAAGGGGGCUUCGGCUCUCGCCUUUAGAUUGGCCCAAGUGGGAUUAGCUAGUUGGUGAGGUAAUGGCUCACCAAGGCGACGAUCCCUAGCUGGUUUGAGAGGAUGAUCAGCCACACUGGGACUGAGACACGGCCCAGACUCCUACGGGAGGCAGCAGUGGGGAAUAUUGCACAAUGGGCGCAAGCCUGAUGCAGCCAUGCCGCGUGUGUGAAGAAGGCCUUCGGGUUGUAAAGCACUUUCAGUCAGGA
Molecule: ribosomal RNA, 391 nt
Filed under: Pseudoalteromonas sp.
Lineage: Bacteria; Pseudomonadati; Pseudomonadota; Gammaproteobacteria; Alteromonadales; Pseudoalteromonadaceae
Description: bacterial SSU rRNA
Rfam family: Bacterial small subunit ribosomal RNA
Source: RNAcentral